RNAcentral lists this ribosomal RNA (250 nucleotides) under uncultured bacterium. RNAcentral's name for it is "partial 16S ribosomal RNA". It matches the Rfam family "Bacterial small subunit ribosomal RNA", at positions 355 to 597 of the family's 1533-position model. The record is from RNAcentral.
UAGGGAAUAUUGGACAAUGGGGGAAACCCUGAUCCAGCAACGCCGCGUGGAUGAUGAAGCUUUUUGGAGUGUAAAAUCCUGUCAGUGGGGACGAAACGUCCGGGUAGGAAAUGACCCGGGCCUGACUGUACCCGCAGAGGAAGUUCCGGCCAACUCCGUGCCAGCAGCCGCGGUAAUACGGGGGGAACGAGCGUUGUUCGGAUUUACUGGGCGUAAAGGGCACGCAGGCGGGGAGACAAGUCAGAUGUGA